GGUGGAGUAUUUUCACCAACAUCUAAGACAGUGAACAGAGUCUAGACUAGUAGACAGAAAAUUAAUGCUUUGGCAGUCCUAGCCUCUACUAACACGAACAACUUAUUGAGGGCUUGUAUACUAUGCUAAGUGCUUUGCAGCUAGCACCUCACCUCAUUACAUUCUUAGAGUACCCCACGAAGUAGGCAUUAUCCUGUAUCUUUACUUUAUAGAUAAGAAAAUUAAGAUCUGCAAAGACUCACUCUGCUAAGAUUAUGCAGCAAGAAAGAGUAGGAACCCAGAAUUCAUACUCAGUUAUGGUCUGUCUAUAAAACCACUCUGCCAUUUUGCAUCUUCCAGAAUAAAAUCUGUCCUUUCCUCAACCUGUACAGCUUCACAAAAAAAGGCCACUUAUGGUCUGAAGACUGCCUCCCUAAGAUUAGUCAACUGGCCAGCUGGAGCCCCAGGCCAAUCUUGUGCCUCCAAAGGAGUUUGGUCAUUGCAUGAAACAUGGUCACUGUUGCAUCCUUUUGCUCCAGCUGAGUCGUGCCCACCUGCGUCUUCAAUCUUUGCGUUGACAGCUACAUUGUUCCACUCUCCAAAAGACGAAGGACCUCUCAGAUUGUGCUCCUUACCUCAUAAUGAGAAUUAGCAGCAGGCCUGGAUGGAUUCGUAAGCAAUGUGAGCCUGCUCUCCUGCAAAUGUCUUUAAUAAUAGAUGAUGAGAAAGGCAGAAGGUGGCACCUGCAAAGUGCAUCAGACACAGCAUCAUUGGAGACUCUUGCCAACACCAGUUCUCCUGGUCCAGUCACCAGUUGUGACGUUUCAACAUGGCUGCUCCUGUUUUCCUC
Molecule: long non-coding RNA, 829 nt
Organism: Herpailurus yagouaroundi (jaguarundi)
Lineage: Eukaryota; Metazoa; Chordata; Mammalia; Carnivora; Felidae
Exons: 3
Source: RefSeq, a predicted model, not a curated record